UAUACGACCGUACCGCAAACCGACACUGGUGCGCGAGAUGAGUAUUCUAAGGCGCUUGAGAGAACUCAGGAGAAGGAACUCGGCAAAUUGACACCGUAACUUCGGAAGAAGGUGUGCCCUAUUAGUGUGUAGUGAACAACGAAGCAUGAAUGGGUUGCAAAAAAUCGGUGGCUGCGACUGUUUAUUAAAAACACAGCACUCUGCAAACACGAAAGUGGACGUAUAGGGUGUGACGCCUGCCCGGUGCUGGAAGAUUAAAUGAUGGGGUGCAAGCUCUUGAUUGAAGUCCCAGUAAACGGCGGCCGUAACAAUAACGGUCCUAAGGUAGCGAAAUUCCUUGUCGGGUAAGUUCCGACCUGCACGAAUGGCGUAACGAUGGCCACACUGUCUCCUCCUGAGACUCAGCGAAGUUGAAAUGUUUGUGGUGAUGCAAUCUCCCCGCGGAAAGACGGAAAGACCCCAUGAACCUUUACUGUAGCUUUGUAUUGGACUUUGAACAGAUCUGUGUAGGAUAGGUGGGAGGCUUUGAAGCAGGGUCGCUAGAUCUUGUGGAGCCAACGUUGAAAUACCACCCUGGUGUGUUUGAGGUUCUAACCUAGGUCCAUUAUCUGGAUCGGGGACAGUGCAUGGUAGGCAGUUUGACUGGGGCGGUCUCCUCCCAAAGCGUAACGGAGGAGUUCGAAGGUACGCUAGUUACGGUCGGACAUCGUGACGAUAGUGCAAUGGCAUAAGCGUGCUUAACUGCGAGACUGACAAGUCGAGCAGAUGCGAAAGCAGGACAUAGUGAUCCGGUGGUUCUGUAUGGAAGGGCCAUCGCUCAACGGAUAAAAGGUACUCUGGGGAUAACAGGCUGAUACCGCCCAAGAGUUCAUAUCGACGGCGGUGUUUGGCACCUCGAUGUCGGCUCAUCUCAUCCUGGGGCUGUAGCCGGUCCCAAGGGUAUGGCUGUUCGCCAUUUAAAGAGGUACGUGAGCUGGGUUUAAAACGUCGUGAGACAGUUUGGUCCCUAUCUUCCGUGGGCGCUGCAGAUUUGAGGAAGCCUGCUCCUAGUACGAGAGGACCGGAGUGGACACACCUCUGGUGUAUCGGUUGUCACGCCAGUGGCAUUGCCGAGUAGCUAAGUGUGGAAGAGAUAACCGCUGAAAGCAUCUAAGCGGGAAACUCGUUUCAAGAUGAGAUCUGCCGGGGCCUUGAGUCCCCUAAAGAGUCGUUCAAGACCAGGACGUUGAUAGGUCAGGUGUGGAAGCCAA
RNAcentral lists this ribosomal RNA (1250 nucleotides) under metagenome. RNAcentral's name for it is "bacterial LSU rRNA". It matches the Rfam family "Bacterial large subunit ribosomal RNA", at positions 1635 to 2877 of the family's 2925-position model. The record is from RNAcentral.